GGGCCGGUAGCAUAACGGUUAAUGCCAACCGCUCAUAACGGUUUCGAUGGGGGUUCAAAUCCCUCCCGGCCCACCA
RNAcentral lists this transfer RNA (76 nucleotides) under Alphaproteobacteria bacterium. RNAcentral describes it as "tRNA-Met". It matches the Rfam family "tRNA". Rfam says of the family: Transfer RNA (tRNA) molecules are approximately 80 nucleotides in length. Lineage: Bacteria; Pseudomonadati; Pseudomonadota; Alphaproteobacteria. The record is from RNAcentral.